This 253-nucleotide ribosomal RNA is filed under the name uncultured bacterium. RNAcentral's name for it is "partial 16S ribosomal RNA". It matches the Rfam family "Bacterial small subunit ribosomal RNA", at positions 524 to 776 of the family's 1533-position model. The record is from RNAcentral.
UACGUAGGGGGCAAGCGUUGUCCGGAUUGAUUGGGCGUAAAGAGUGUGUAGGCGGCCAGGUAGGUCGGUUGUGAAAACUGGAGGCUCAACCUUCAGAGGUCGACCGAAACCAUCUGGCUAGAGUCCGGGAGAGGAGAGUGGAAUUCCUGGUGUAGCGGUGAAAUGCGCAGAUAUCAGGAAGAACACCCGUGGCGAAAGCGGCUCUCUGGAACGGUACUGACGCUGAGACGCGAAAGCGUGGGGAGCGAACAGG